This 349-nucleotide unclassified non-coding RNA is filed under the name soil metagenome. RNAcentral's name for it is "partial contains 5.8S ribosomal RNA, internal transcribed spacer 2, and large subunit ribosomal RNA". The stretch from base 1 to 121 matches the Rfam family "5.8S ribosomal RNA", at positions 35 to 154 of the family's 154-position model. The record is from RNAcentral.
GAUGAAGAACGCAGCGAAAUGCGAUAAGUAAUGCGAAUUGCAGAAUUUCCGUGAGUCAUCGAAUCUUUGAACGCACAUUGCGCCCGCUGGUAUUCCGGCGGGCAUGCCUGUUCGAGCGUCAUUUCAACCCUCAAGCCCCCGGGUUUGGUGUUGGGGAUCGGCUCUGCCCUUCUGGGCGGUGUCGCCCCCGAAAUACAUUGGCGGUCUCGCUGCAGCCUCCAUUGCGUAGUAGCUAACACCUCGCAACUGGAACGCGGCGCGGCCAUGCCGUAAAACCCCAACUUCUGAAUGUUGACCUCGGAUCAGGUAGGAAUACCCGCUGAACUUAAGCAUAUCAAUAAGCGGAGGA